This 8449-nucleotide long non-coding RNA is filed under the name Homo sapiens (human). RNAcentral describes it as "non-protein coding CALML3-AS1:10". Lineage: Eukaryota; Metazoa; Chordata; Mammalia; Primates; Hominidae. The record is from RNAcentral.
GAUGGGUCUUGGGGGAGACCAAGGGUGCCCUGCUCAAUGUCAGCCCUGACUCUGUGCCACGUGCACUCAGCUCUGCCACGGAGGUGCAUGGCUCUGUAGACGUGGACGCCUCAGGGGUGACACCUCAGAGCUCCUGUUUACCUCUUUAGCCACCAGGAAGACAUUAGGACUCCCAGAGGGUGACUCCAGGGGCAGGUGGCUUGGAGGACUGGCCGUGCAAGGAGGCAGCAAAGGGGCGGCCAUCUGCAAGCUGAGGGCAGAGGCCUUGGAGGAAGCAGCCCUGCCAGUGCUGGUAACUCCUGCAGGUCGGAAGUCCAAACCAAGGUGCUGGAAGGGCUGGUUCCUUCCGGACCCUUCAGGGGAGAAUCUUUCUGCCUCUUUGGCUUCUUGAGGCCCCUUCCUGGCAUUGCUUCUUUCUCCACUGACUCCUACCAUCAGCGCUGAGUCCUGCCUGCCUCUUAUAAGGGGCUGGAGAGACUUCUUCAUGAAGGAAUACAGGGACAGUCACAGGAGACAGGAGCACCAAGGGAUUCGGACAUGUGGCUGACACAGUCUUCUGGAGAGCCCCGGAUGGCAUCAGGGGGAAACCUGGCCUGAGACAGUGCCCUGAUGGACAAGGACAGGAAUACGGUCAUACCUCCUGCCCACUUGACCAACGACCAGGAUGAGAAGCCAACAGAUGAUGAAUAUGAAUUAAAGUUGGACAACUAGCAAGUUUAAAACUUGGACUGGGACCUAGAUCUUCCGAUUCCUACAGCUAGCCUCCCUUUCCAUCUUCUCUGUGGUCAUCACUAAUGCAGUUUUUGACCGUCUUGUCCAGAAGCUGCAAAACAGACAACAGAAGCCAGGACUGGCCCUGCCUUAGAUGGCUUUCAGUGCAGGAAAGUAUCAAGACAGUCUUGUUCGUAGCGUAUAUCUCUCUCCACCUUUUCUGCUAAGCACCUCAUGUAUGCAGCUGCCAAUGUAACACCUCCAUUUGCGUGUUUAAUCACCAUCUCAAGCUAAUGUAACCAAGCAGACUUCUUGGCCUUCAUCCCUGCCUCCUCUAGUCUUCUCAUCUCUCUCUCUCUCUCUCUCUUUUUGAGACAGAAUUUGGCUCUGUUGCCCAGGCUGGAGUGCAGUGGCACCAUCUUGGCUCACUGCAACCUCUGCCUCCUGGGCUCAAGCCAUCCUCCCAACUCAGCCUCCUGAGUAGCUGGGUCUUCCCAUCUCUUUAAAAAACAAUUCAAUUGUUCAGAACAAAACCCUGGAGUCAUAUUUAAUUCCUCCCUUCCUCUUGCACUUCUAAACCAAUCAUUCAUCUCUACUUUGAAAAUGUUUCUUUAUUCAUCCAGUGCACCAAGCCACCAUCACCUCGAGGCAGGAAUAUUCAACGGCCUCAUAAGUGGUCUCCCUAUUUGUGUUAUAUUCAAUGCAUGUCUUUUCUUACUCAAAAUCCUAUAAAGGCUUCUCUUCACCAUCCACGACUGUUUCCUGCCUUCCUCACUAUGAUCCCAUCACUGACCCCUCAAGACUAUGUUCCAGCCUACUUUCUGCUCCUUGACCAACACCCUUACUCUGAUUCCCACUUUUGUGACUUCACAUGAGUCCCCUGUCUGCCUGGACACUCUGCCCCCAACCUUGAAGUGCUCACCCUUCCCUGUCACUCAGUUGAAAGUCAAAUUCCAUUUCCUCAUGAGGGCUUCCCUGAAUACCCACUUUUAAUUAACUCUCUGCCUCCUCCCAUCACUUCUGUUUUACCCCCUCUUUUAGUUCCUUCCUAUCUUAGUUUCAUAAGAGCCAGGGCCGUUUCCGACUUCUUUCCCCGUCAAGCCUCCUUAGAUAGGACAGGUCCUCUGCCUCACCGACUUUAAUCAGUAUUUGCUAAGUAAACAGAGCACAGGAGGAUCCUGUUGUCAUCAAAGAGCAGCUCUGCCUCCAAUGGCGAAAGGAUUGUUGGAACCUCAUCCUUCCUUCAAGUUCUGGUUCAAAAAAUUCCAUGCUAUGCCUCACAUGGCCUUGCCCAGGUGCCUGUUUGAUUUGCCUGGGUUGUCUGUUCUUUCUUCCCCACUGUCCUCAUUUGCCAUGUGGCUCGGUGGUGGCUGGAGACCUCCAUGCUGGCCCCUGGGAGCAGCUGCUAAGGCUCGGCGCCUCAGGACACCUUGGCACCUGUGGAUAUCGACCACCAGGCUUCUCUUCUGUUCAUGUCUCUGCAAGAAUGAGAACCUGCCCCCAUACCAUUUGUGCUGUGUAGGCCUCAGGAGGCAUGGACUCACGCAUCCAGCUUCCUGCAAGCCCUCUGGUACAUCGCAGUGUUCACCCCCAGCUUUCUAUUACAGCCACCACCCAGGGACUCUGGUGCAGGCUCCUUAGAGAGAGGCCAGGAAACUGCCGAGGUGAUAAGUGACAGCAGGUCUCAGGGGAAGAGAGGACUUCUCUCCUUAGUAAAGAACCUGUCGAGGUCGGAAAGACACUCCAGGCUCAAAGCCAAAUUUGAAAGUUAGGCUGACAGCCCAACUAGGGCAGAUUGGAGGAGCCAGGUGGAGAGAGGAUGUGGGGGAGUCAGGAAAGAGGUGGAAGGAGAAGCCUGGAAGAGUGGCUCCGCUCCUGGAGUAUGGCCAGCGGCACUUCGUCAGGACCUCGACCUUCACCCACUAGUGGGAGGGUGUUCCUCGCAUGACUUGUAGGAUCACCUGGGAAACACACAAAUGGAAGAAUUUAAAAAUAUCUGCUAGGACACCCCGUGUCCCCCACAACUCAUCACAGAGCAAACCCAUCACAGAGCAAACUCCUUGGCUACUUCUUGUCUUGGGCCGUCUUUUCAUCUGGCCUGUUUGCCUGACUGGACUUUGGGGUCUUUGUUCCCAGCAUCAAAAUUUCCUACCAGCGACUUUCCAUCACAGCUCCCUUCCAGUCUUCUGGAAAUUGUCAGAUGUGCCUGGAUUUGCAGGGCCUGCACAAGAUAUGCUGUCGAUCUGGGAUUUUUGGGGAUUUUUGCAGUUCACACUCCAAUGUGCAACAGCAACCAAACGGAGAUGGAGGACGUGAACAUGAACUACUGGAGAUGCUGAUGAAACGUGUGUAAGGACCGCAAUGGUAUCUGUGUCCUGCUCGUGAAAUUGACCAGAUACAGCGGCUUCCUUUUGCUUCCGAAGGCCCGGAUUGACCUGACAAUUGAUAUGCUUUGCUCUAUACUCCAACUCCCAUUGACCAUGGGGUGAAAGCACCCUUUCUCGGUCAGCCUCACUGCUUCCCCGCAGAUGGAGGGAUUUUCUGCAGGAGCAUGGGCCCUGGGCCUUCCUUUCCCACUGUCUCUUGAAAGCCUCCUCCAGAUGUGCUGCCUGGCUCAGCUCUUUGGGUGACUUUUGUUCUGUCUCAUGUGACCCAUCAAGAUUCACACAGGGCUGUGUCCCGGGCAGGGCUGGAGUCGACAUUCAGGGAGGAGAUCACUGUUCUGGAACAGAGCAGUGAUUGGUUUAAUUGAAAUCUGAUAGAUCAUCAUGUAAAAAGCUGGCAUGUAAGCAUGCUCCCGGAGCCUGCAGGGCCCUGCGCGGCCUCUUGCCUGGCCAUCACGUAGAGGCGGUCCUCUUGCAUGGUUGGGGGCCUCACCUGCACCACGGGCCCCCAAGCCAAACAGUGAGAUUGUACGGAGACCAUCCUGGUCAGGUCUUGCAGUUUGCACCAGGUAGCCCCAGGCUAUCCUGCCGUGCAAGAGCUGCCUUCUCAGCACAGUGGAGUUCUACGGCUGCCUCGGCUGCAGAGGUCAGCUCUGGAGCCUUGCUGAGCACCUCCAUGGAUGCAUUUUGCAAAGGGCCGAGUAAGAGGCAUUAACGUGGCCUGUGCUUAGUUCCUGACAGCAAGCGGGAUUAAACCCGGAUUAAAGGAUCAGCCCUAAACCAAAGCAGACCAGUAAUAGGUCUCAUGAUAAAAGCAGCCAAAUAAUAAUAGUAAAAAUCUAUUCUUGGACUUAUUACUUUCCUGGGAAAAGGGCUAUUUCUUGUGAAAUAUGCAGCGAUUGGAACUUUCCCCGACAGCCCACCGUGAGCUCACUCACUGCCCCUGCCUGUGCUGGGGGGUGGUGGGUGGUGAGAGGUGCAAGUGAAGGGUCUGGACAGAGGCAGAGGGAGGAGAGGGGGCAGGGGGAUGGGGAGGAAGAAUGGGGGGUUCGCUCUGGGAUAGCUUCAUGAUCCACUGAACCUUUCAAACUUGAUGCUUGACGUUUUGAAAAAAAUGACAGAAAAUAUGGGCUGGGCACUGUGGCUCACGCCUGUAAUCCUAGCACUUUGGGAGGCUGAGGUGGGCAGAUCACCUGAGGUCAGGAGUUCAAGACCAGCCUGGCCAACAUGGUUAAACCCCGUCUCUACUAAAAAUAAGCCAGGUGUGGUGGCACAUGCCUGUAAUCCCAGCUGCUUGGGAGGCUGAGGCAGAAAAAUUGUUUGAAUCUAGGAGACAGAGAUUGCAGUCAGCCGAGAUGCUGCCUCUAAACUCCAGGCUGGGUGACCAAGUGGGGCUCUGUCUCGAAAAAAAAAAAAAAAGUGUACUAGGGGGAUGUCGUUGAGGGGCUUAGCCACAUGCUACAGAUCUUUUUAUACCAAGAUGCAUUCAAUGAUUAGCUAAGUUGGACAGUUUGUUACUUUAAGCCUCCACAACCAAAGGGGCAAGAUAAUUAUCUCCCAGAGAACAAGUUGAUCUUCUUUGAAGGAUAAGGAGUUCCCCAAGCAGCAGGAAGAGCUUCUGUUCCCAAUUCCAGCCUUUGAAGUUUAAGCUUCAGAAGAAAACCUUAGCAUUUAAUACAGGAAGGCAUGCACGUGUGUGUGCAUGUGUUUGUACCCACACAUGUGGCUCAAGCUUCCCUGUGACAAUGGGUUGCCUGCGGGUAAGCGUGGGAUGUGUGGAGAAGGCAGGAGGGUUUAGGGCGUGGGCUCAGUACCCUGAUGAGAGAUUUAAAGCAGGCAAAGGGAUUCGGCAAAGUGCAGCUCCCAUUUCAUCAUUUCUUCAGACCCUGCCUUAGUUAUUUACUGCUGUGGUUUUAAACUCUGCUCUUCGAAACCCUUGGUUUCUGCAGAAGUCCUUCGAGAGGUUCGUGGGGGCAAAGGAAGGUGAGGGGCAGGAGCCCAGGCCACCCGGCCUCCUUCCUUUCCCCACGUCUGCUUUCAACUGUUUCAUAUGCAUCAUGCAAAUCGCAGCUGUCAUGGCUCAGGUCCUCAUGUGUACAAUGGGCGCCAUGGCAGCGUCCAGGUCAGAGGGUGACCAGAGUGACAUGAAUUAAGACACGAGAGGACUCCAAAGAGUGGUCAGGCCUCUCACGUCAUAAGAUCUCCAUAAAUGGUCACUAUUAUUUUGUGUUAUUAGGGGUACGCUUUUCAUUUGUAAGAUGACUUCCAUGGGGCCCCACGCCUCAUGACCCCGUCUCACCCCCUGCAAAUACCAUCCCAUGGAGAGGCAGGACUUGAGCCUAUGAAUUUGAGGGGUACACGGUUCAGUCCAAACCUUUUGGUGUUUCUGUGUAUCCAUUUCUGCAUGUGUAAAAUGAGGAGAACAGACAGCUUCCGACCUCAUCUCCAAAGGCGCACGGAGGAGGUGGAAAGGCCCUCGCCGGAGACUGAGCACUGCAGCCAGCGCAAGGCCGGAUUUGCUGCUUCCGCGCGGGGACGCCCUCGGAAAGGUGGCAGGUGCCCACGGCGAGGAAGGGGCGGGAGUGAGGGGUGCGUGGCCCGAGAGAACUCAGUGAAGAAGGCCAUUAGGGAGGAAAUAAGGGAAACGGGGUGUGCGAAGCUCUGAGCUUUUUCUGCCCGGUUUGGCUGAGGACACGCCACGGGUGAGCAUCUGCGCGAGGGGAGCUUGGUGGGUGAGGAAGGAAGAAGACACGAUAGAGAACUGGAAGCAAGAAGGGAGGAAACCAAAAGGAACGGGGAGGAGAAAGGGCUUCUCUGGAGCUGCUUGCUUUUCCCAGAUUCUCCUGCCAUUCCUGGCUCCAGGGAGUCCUGAAGGAACGAUGGUUAGGGCGGAGAAUCCUGCAGAGGAAAGGAGAGAAAGGACUAGAGGUCACACACGGCUUCUUGGAGGGGAGCGGGGAGCAGGGGCUCCGAGGCUGCGGGUCGCAGGCUCCAGGGCAGGAAGCUCUCCAUGGGAACCGUAGUAUGAAUUCCACCGAGGUGCGUCCCGGCACAGACCCGAAGGCAGCCACAUUUGUGGAAAUAAGAUUUGACGUGCAUUUCGGAUCCGCAGAGAAGGUGGACUCUGUUUUGCAGAAUGGACCAGCGGUGGGGGGUGGGGUGGGGGGCAGGAAAAGACUUUAAACGCUGGCAGAACUUUGUAUUCCACUCAUUCGUGCAUGCAUUCAUUCAGCCAUCCUUUCGCUAUCAUUCAUCAAACUAGCGCGCACUGAGGCCACUUUGUGUCAGCGCAGCGCCUGGCCUGAGGACCUCAGGGUGGUGUCGGCAAAGUUCCGCUGCCAAGGAGUUCACGGGCCGUGUUUCCUGCCAGGCCGCAGACACUCUCUGCGUGGAGCCCGAGGAGGUUCUGUGUGAGAUCUCACCCUGCGGGAAGAAAGAGGCGGAGGCUCGGGGUUGGUCCAAUCACACCCCUGAUGGUGAGAGACGGGCGGGCGGGGCCUGACGCCCACUCCCAGCUGGAUGCCUGUCUCCCACCCCGCGUGUCCUUUCCCAGACCCCAAAGCUUCCUGCCUGGUCUCAGUUCUUCGGAGAAGAGGGAUUAGAAGCUGGAACAGGUAUUUCUGCUAAUGGGGCGUGGCAGAUCGGCAUUUGCGGGGGCUCUGUCACCCCGUAAGAUGUCCCAGCAGGAAGCGUGGCGGGUCUCCACUGAGAGCUCCACGGAGCAGCUUUGGCUCCCUGAGAAGUCGAGGUGUGAGCAGUAGCGGCCUUCCCUUUGCAGAGAGAAGGCUUGGGGAGAGAAGACCCUGGUGCCAUCUUCAUAGGAGGUGGAAAGGAAACUGUAUGACAGGAGAAUGAAUCAGGUUUGGGGCUCAAGGUGCCGGCCACUGGGAAAAACAGCUGCCCCGAGUUGCAAAACUCUGGGUCCUAUAUGUAUAAACUAUGCCCUGAGGAAGGAAUCUCAGGCGUAUCUUAGGAGAAAAUGUUCUAGCUUGGGAAACAAACACAACAGGACCGUGAAUCCAAAUAUUUCAAGUGGGUUUAGAGGACUGGAGUUCUAAACGCUGCUUUUACUGUAAGUGAUCACGCCCCGGAAUGUGCUGAAGAAAGGAAAAUGAGCCAGUAUCGGCGAGGACUAUGGGCAAGGAAAACGAGAGUGUGCGAUGUGUCAAAGCAAGACAUCUGUGUAUAGUAAUAUAAUCAAGUAAUAGAUAGUCAUAGAAUCAAGCUGAUGUAUUUGGCAGGGGCCGCGGGAGGAUGAGGCAACUCCCAUCAGAUUAGAAAGAUGUUAACACUGUAACAAAAGUGGGGCUCGAGGAAGGGGAAAAGCGCAGCUCUCUUUUUAAGACGCCAGAAAGUAGUCAGACAUGCUAAGAACAAAACAAACACAAACGAAAACCAGCAAAGAAAGCUCUUCGAGAAGAGUAAGGCUACUGAUCUUUAGGAAUCAAAUCAUUAUUUCCACACAUGUCAUGAAGAACACAGACAUUAAAGCACAAAGGAGAAACUUAAAUGAAAGUAGGAGGGAGAAGUCAAAGCUCAAGUAAAGAGAUUUUUAACCUAGAGAGGCUGAGUUAUCAAGGAAGAAAGAAGGCCAAGCCAGCUUGUUGCAGAAUGUUCCAGAAGAUAAGAUAAUGAUAGACUUAAAUAAAUAGGGACUGAUCAAGGUGAUAGCGAGUUCUUGGUGAAAUUGCUUCCAAGGAUUUUAUAGAAGUGUAUUUCAUGGAAAUGUACAGUAACCGGAUGACUGUAUUAAAAUUUUAAAACUGCUGGGUGUGGUGGCUCAUGCAUAUAAUUCCAACACUUUGGGAGGCCAAGGCGGGUGGAUCACAUGAGGCCAGGAGUUCGAGACCAGCCUGACCAACAUGGUAAAACCCUGUCUCUAUUAAAAAUACAAAAAUUAGCAGGGUGUGGUGGUGUGUGCCUGUAAUCCCAGCUACCUGGGAGGCUGAGGCAGGAGAAUCACCUGAACCUGAGAGGUUGCAGUGAGCCAAGAUUGCGCCACUGCACUCCAGUCUGACUCCGUCUCAAAUAAAACAAAAUAAAAUAAAAAUCUAAAACUGACUUAGGCAGUUAAGUGUGUUUCCAAAGAACGUAAUUGGUGGGAGGCAGAGCGGGCCCGAAUUGCCACCUCUUCCCGGCACGGCCAGUGCUCUUCCUCCCACUCCCGGCCACCUCCGCAGGCCCCUGCCCGUGCCAGGACUGGGUGAAGCUGUGAAUGUGCUUCUCCACUUGGGGGUGCGGGACAAUGCUGGGGCCCUGGGCUGGGUUUCUGCCCUAGGAAGCCUCACUGUUGAGUCAGGGGCUGCUGGAGCUGAGUUUUGUCUUCAGUGGCUUAUGAAGGAAAGAUGAAGCUA